RNAcentral lists this ribosomal RNA (433 nucleotides) under uncultured bacterium. RNAcentral's name for it is "partial 16S ribosomal RNA". It matches the Rfam family "Bacterial small subunit ribosomal RNA", at positions 29 to 507 of the family's 1533-position model. The record is from RNAcentral.
AACGAACGCUGGCGGUAUGCCUAACACAUGCAAGUCGAACGAGACCAGCGGGUCAGCUGGCGCAAGGGUGCGUCAAGUGUGGGACCGUGCCCUUAGAUAGGGGACAACUCUCCGACAGGGGUGCUAACAUCGGAUAACGUCUUCUGAUCAAACAUAUACCGCCCUUGGAUGGGCCUGAGUUGGAUUGGCUAGUCGGUAGGGUAUAAGCCUACCAGGGCGACGAUCCAUAGCUGGUUUGAGAGGAUGAUCAGCCACUCUGGGGGUGUGAAACGGCCCAGACUACUACGCGAGGCAGCAGUGGGGAAGAAUGGAAAAUGGCCGGGAGCCUGAUCGAGUGAUGGCGCGAAAGUGAUGAUGGUGUGAGGGUUGUGCAGCUCUUUUACCCGCGCCGAUAAUGACAGUACCGGGAGAAUAAGCACCGGCUAACUGCGUG